This 63-nucleotide transfer RNA is filed under the name marine eukaryotic metagenome. It matches the Rfam family "tRNA", at positions 6 to 65 of the family's 71-position model. Rfam says of the family: Transfer RNA (tRNA) molecules are approximately 80 nucleotides in length. The record is from RNAcentral.
GCGUAGCUCAGUUGGUAGAGCAUCAGAUUGUGGCUCUGAGGGUCGCGGGUUCAAGCCCCGUCG